UACAGAGGUCCCAAGCGUUGUUCGGAUUCACUGGGCGUAAAGGGUGCGUAGGCGGUCAUUUAAGUCUGACGUGAAAUCUCCGGGCCUAACCCGGAAACUGCGUUGGAAACUAUCUGACUAGAGGAAUGGAGGGGAGAUUGGAAUACUUGGUGUAGCAGUGAAAUGCGUAGAUAUCAAGUGGAACACCAGUGGCGAAGGCGAAUCUCUGGACAUCUCCUGACGCUGAGGCACGAAAGCCAGGGGAGCAAACGGG
RNAcentral lists this ribosomal RNA (253 nucleotides) under uncultured bacterium. Its description in RNAcentral is "partial 16S ribosomal RNA". It matches the Rfam family "Bacterial small subunit ribosomal RNA", at positions 524 to 776 of the family's 1533-position model. The record is from RNAcentral.